GAUGAACGCUGGCGGCGUGCUUAACACAUGCAAGUCGAACGAUUAAAGCCCCUUCGGGGGUAUAUAGAGUGGCGAACGGGUGAGUAACACGUGAGCAACCUACCUUCUGUACUGGGAUAACUCGAGGAAACUCGUGCUAAUACCGGAUACUCCGUCUGCUCCGCAUGGUGCGGGCGGGAAAGCGCAUACGACAGAAGAUGGGCUCGCGUCCCAUUAGCUAGUUGGUAGGGUAAUGGCCUACCAAGGCGAUGAUGGGUAGCCGGGUUGAGAGACCGACCGGCCACAUUGGGACUGAGACACGGCCCAAACUCCUACGGGAGGCUG
Molecule: ribosomal RNA, 324 nt
Filed under: uncultured Actinomycetes bacterium
Lineage: Bacteria; Bacillati; Actinomycetota; Actinomycetes
Description: bacterial SSU rRNA
Rfam family: Bacterial small subunit ribosomal RNA
Source: RNAcentral